RNAcentral lists this unclassified non-coding RNA (326 nucleotides) under Hevea brasiliensis (rubber tree). Lineage: Eukaryota; Viridiplantae; Streptophyta; Magnoliopsida; Malpighiales; Euphorbiaceae. The record is from RNAcentral.
GGAUUCAAUAGUUUUGACAGAAAAGUUAGCAGAAGCAAUGAAAUCCAAGCAUAUUUCUGUGGAAGAUGCAUUCAAAGCAUAUGGUAGUGAAAGAUGGAGACGUGUGUUUCCAUUAACAGUAAUGGCAAAUCGCGUUGGAGCACUGCUGCAGUCUGAGAAUAAACUGAUAUGUUCUGUUAGAAAUAAUCUCCUUGUGCCUAAGCUGAAGCCCAGAGCAUUGACGAAACAUACCAAUUAUGAAUUUGAGCAAGCUAAAAGAGACGGACAUUAGUUUUUGAGGGAGGAAAACUUAGCAAUAGCUUGCCAAUAAGAUUUCCCUCGAAUAG